Camelina sativa (false flax) is the source of this 338-nucleotide non-coding RNA. NCBI's taxonomy places the organism in Eukaryota, Viridiplantae, Streptophyta, Magnoliopsida, Brassicales, Brassicaceae. The record is from RefSeq and is a predicted model, not a curated record.
UGUCGUCAAAGCAACUAUAACUGAAGUAGUAUUACGAAAAAGUCGGAACUACAUAUCAUGUUCGAGUUGCUCUAAAAAAGUAACAAAAUCAUCAACCUCUCUUAUAUGCUCAAACAAAAAGUGUGGUAAAACACCAGCCAUUGGAGUACUAAGAUUUAGAAUUGAAGUAAUAGUGGAUGAUGGAGAUGCCUCAGCAACUUUUGUUAUAUUUGAUAAAGAUGCAGAAAAAAUCACCGGAACAACUGCAGAAAUCAUAAAAAGUAAUUUGGGCGAACAAGAGUUAGAAGAAGUUCCCACAUGUGUGAAAUCAAUAGUUGGAAAUACAUAUUUAUUCGAGA